RNAcentral lists this long non-coding RNA (1332 nucleotides) under Meleagris gallopavo (turkey). RNAcentral's name for it is "lncRNA (ENSMGAG00000020829.1)". Lineage: Eukaryota; Metazoa; Chordata; Aves; Galliformes; Phasianidae. The record is from RNAcentral.
UACCUGGGAGAGCUCCCAGCUCACGGCCAUCCUGCAGGCUCACGUGGAGCCUCCAUUGCCUGGCCUUCUUCUUUUCACAGCCAAGGCUCCUACGAGCCCUUCCUUCCCGACCCUCUCCCUCGUCCCUUCCCAAGUCCUCUCAUCUCUUCUUCACCAAGUCCUGAGGAAGAGGGCAGGGCAGGGACUGCCAUCCUCAGAGCUGCUGUGCCGGAGCAGUGGGACGAAUCCAGUGGAGGGACCUCAAACAUCGCAGGGGUGCAAGGAUCCUCCAAAGCUCCCAUGAGCCCAUCCUUCCUAUCCUCCUCCCUCAUCCCUGCCCAGAGUGGGAGAAGUCAAAGAAGGGACAGAGGCAGCUGAUCCUGGGGAGAACCACACUUUGGUUCAGGCAGGAAGAAGUGCUGAACUGCAGCAAGAAGGUCCAGUCCAGGUGUUUUCCUUUUUGGAAAGUUUGGACUUUCCUUUCAAGACUAGACAAUCAACAAUUUAAAACAACAAUACAAAAUAAUAAAAAAAUCAAAACCGCAAUAUAAAAUAAACACAUUUUCUUUUUUAAAAAAGAAAAGCACUGAUUGUCUUUCUGCUUUAGGAACCUUAGAGUUUGCACAUAGGUUCCCGCGUCCCCUCCUUGCCUCCCGCACACACAACGCACCCCGCAGCAGGACACGCUGCCCUCAUUGCCAGCCUGAGGAACAACCACCGCACUGCACACACCACUGAGGCUGUCCCCUUGCCCUGCCUCAGCACCCUCUGCUACGUGGCAGGGAUAUUUCACACACACAUCAUCAAAAAAACAGUAAAGAGCCUCUUUUUACUCUUGAAUGACAGAAUCAGAAAUCUCACAGUAUUCCACAUCCUCUCAACAACUGACUGGUUAAUGAACAGAGAUGCUUGAACUGAAUACAAGAAUUGGCAUUUGUUGGGACAAGCAUAGCACUAAAGCAAAACAUUUUGGUUUCAAUUAAUGACAGCCCCCCCCCAGGUGGCAGUCAGAAGUCCCCUUGCCCUGCGCCAUCAUGGCAGCAGCUCUGUCCCACCGAGCGGCCUGGCCCAACAGCAGCCGCAUAGAGGUUUGCAGUCAGUAACGGAUGGGCUAACACCAGGACUUGGGAAGGGCACAGGGCUGUGCUAACUCAGGUGAUAGCAAAUAACCAUGUGCAGUUUGAUACACUGUCUUAACACAGUCUGUGAACAGUAGAAAAUUCACAGCCAUGCUUUCUGUUUUGAUUCAGGAAUUUGAGAACAGGUUUCAAGGUUGCCAGGAAAAUGAUCAAUUUUUUAAUCUAAUUGUGACUCCAUUUUCAGUCGGCUUAAGUAGGUUCUCUGAAAAUUUUC